RNAcentral lists this long non-coding RNA (786 nucleotides) under Betta splendens (Siamese fighting fish). RNAcentral's name for it is "lncRNA (ENSBSLG00000021181.1)". Lineage: Eukaryota; Metazoa; Chordata; Actinopteri; Anabantiformes; Osphronemidae. The record is from RNAcentral.
AUGGGAUGUGAUUCUUCUUGUGUCCAGAUGAGUUCUGAUCCACCUCCUCCAUACCGAACUCAUUUCCCAGAAGGCGCCUCGGCCCCUGGCUUCACUCCAGCUCUCAGCUCUCAGCCUGCAGCCUUUGCCAGCUCUUCAUACCAGAUCUUCCCUCAGACUUACACCGGUGGAGACCAAUCCUUCUACCAGGGCUGUCCAGGGGCCUUUGUGAGCCAGCCUGGCUACCAGGGCUACCACAGUGGGGCUCCAGGAGCUGCCUAUCGCUGGGACGGGUCCAAGCCGUAUGCCGAGCCUCCCAAACACACAGUGUUCAUGAUGGGGCCACAGGACCAACACCAUGGCAUGAAAGACUCAUGUCUGAAGGUCUGUUCAGCCCUGCUGUGUUGCUGUUGCCUCUGGGACAUGUUCACCUCUCACCUGUGCUGCCCACUGACCUCUGACCUUCACUGAGUCCCCCAUCAAGAAGCUUGGACAACUGAUUUUCCACACAAUAUAAGUGUUUAUUUUGCCUGUUAACUCACUACUAACACUCAGACUCGUUACUGUCUCAUUAGCCUCUUUACAACACUCACCAAAGAUAAUUCUCAAAACCUUUCAAGUAAAAAAUCUGCUUCGAGACAGAAAAAGUAUGACUUUAGUUUCUGUGGAUUGACAAUUUAUUCUCCACUAAACAGAACUUAUUAAGACCUUUUAGAAAACCCAACAAAUCCCACUUACUGAUUUUUAGCCAAAAACAGUGAAGGUCAUUAAAAUAAAAUACAGGAAACUUCAAAGAAAGGAUUUAAA